Molecule: unclassified non-coding RNA, 421 nt
Filed under: Hevea brasiliensis (rubber tree)
Lineage: Eukaryota; Viridiplantae; Streptophyta; Magnoliopsida; Malpighiales; Euphorbiaceae
Source: RNAcentral
AAAAAGAAAAGAGAAAAGGCGCAUCUUCUGACAUCUCAGCUAGUACAGCUAUACAUACGCAACGCACAGCUUGUGCUAUAAGGUCUCUCCAUCACCAUCUUCACCCACUUCAACCUCGAGACAUCGUCAAACACACUCAUGAUAAUCUCUCGCUCUAGCGUCCUCUUCUGUUCUCACAACUGCCGCUGAAUUCUCCGUCGCUCUCUCCUUCUCGCCGGAAAAUCUUUCUCCUUCCUUACUUCCUUUCCUACUCUUUCUCUAUUUCUCUUUAACAUUCAGUCACGGACCUCUGGAGAUUGAUUCCUGGAAAAAGCUUUUUCACCGUCGUUUUACGUUAGAAACCGUUUCGAAACACUAUAGAUUUUUUUUAAUGUUCCUUUUUUUUUUUUAGAAAAAGAUGGAGGUGAUUGAGCUCUGGUUG